CACCCUUCCCUCUUAUCAGGCGAGGACAGCCUGCCAGGGGCUUCACUCUGUUGAUCAGGGUCAGGGGAAGUGACUUGUCUGAGGCCACACUGGAGGGCUCUGUGGGUGUGCCUGGUGAGCCUGGGUACUGGUGAGUUGCUUAGGCUCGGGCCUAAGGCCAUCCUCACAAGUACCCAGAGGACUGGCCUUACUGGGGAGGGAAGCCAUCUGAGAAUGCUCUCAGUGGUAGCUCUUAGACUAGACAAGAGGGCAUUGGGAAAGUGGGAGGGCACAGGAAAAGGCACCGAGGCCCUUUGGGCAGAGGCCAGCCUUGCACUGACCUUUGAGGGCUCAGACAGUUUUGGCCCCUGGGGUGCAGAGGUUAGGGAAGGCCUGAACAUCAGACCCAGCCCAGAUCUUUGCCCAGAAGCUGACAACUGGAGCAUUGUGUGGCCAGAGGCUGUUUCAAGCCAGCCUGGUCCUAGCCUCUAACCAGCCCAGUGGUAGAAGGAAGUAGAAGGAAACCUCCAUUUUUGGCCAUCGCAUCUUGAGAGAUGUGUGGGGCUGCCCUCUUUUUUGUCCCAGGCAGCCUCUCCCAGGCCCUGCCCUAACUCCCACUUAGGGACAGGCAGGAGAGGCACCUGACCCCAGGGCCCAGGACAUCCAGCCCAAGCUCAUCAGGCCCUGCCCUGCCCGGCCCUGCCCUACAGGGCUAGGGAACAGAGUCCUUGGCAUCAGUCUCCCAGCUCAACAACCCAGCCCCACCCUGCAGAGCUCGGGUGUCAGGGGUUGGCUGAAUUCAGUGGGAGGAGCCCAGAGGCAGGGCUGCCCUAGGCCUGGGGAUGUCCAAGAUCCCUGGGGUUCAACCUUUCCCCCAGACUGCACAGAGGUAGAGAUAAGGCCCAGGGGUCAAAGGCUGGAGAGAGAGCAGCCAGGGGGAGCACACUGGGAGCCACAGCCUCCCCUGACCCUCCCCAGGCCCAGAGCUUGGGCACUUCCCAGACCUCCUGCCCUUAUUGCUCAUCUCUCGGUCCUGGUCCCCGAUGAUGGCAAUCCAAUAAGAAGGACAUGGUUUUGAGAAACACAGGGGACUCCCGUCCUGAAAUCGGGUGCCAUCCCCAAAGUCUGGAUGACUUUGUUCCUGUGAUAGAUGUGUAUUCAAGGAAAGAUAAAUGCCUAAAAUGGGGAAGAAAGUGCAUCCUGUUUCCCCUGAGGUUACGGAGGGGAGAGAUUAGAGAGGAGCAGGGAGAGAGCAAGAGAAUGAAGCAGGUCCAUUUGAGCAGGGAGGCCACAUUCAAAGCAUAAAGUGAAGCACUGUUACGCCCUGACCCCAAGAGCCCUGCAGGUGGGGCCAGGGCGAAGGUCGUGUCCUCCCUUCCUGUUUGUGGGUUGGAGCUUUGGCCGUUUCCUGGGGAUUUUCCCUGAAGGGCUUGGGGUGCGGUACCUGACUCAGCAAGCACCUUUGUGGUUCCUUACACAGCAGCCCAUCCCUGGCCCAGAGACCACAGCCCCAUCCCCAACUGGGGCCACAGGCUUUGGGGAGACAGCUGGGAAGGCACCAAGGCAGGUGUUGGCGGGAGGAUUCUGAGGUGCCAACGUGGCAUUCAUGCCGCUCUGUUCCAGGAGCAUGAACUGGAGGGUGACCUCCAGAGAGAGUCCCAGGAGGGGGUGCUUGGAGCCCUUGGGAGAGCAGAGGGGGUGGCCUGCACCACUACUCUGGGUUAGGCAGGCAGGGAAGGGAUGCCCAGGCCAUCACCGAGGGGAAGGGCCCAGUCCUUAUUCCCCAGCAGGCAGCAGCCCAGCUCCUUGCUAUCAGGGAGGACCUGUCACUGGAAGGGUUAACCCAGACACCUCCAGCAACCAAUCACAGAGCCCUAUAGGGAAUACCUGGGAGAGGUCCUGGGGCCAGACCUGUAGAGCCCAACCCUAGUCUGGUCCCAGCAGCCCUCAACUGGCUCAGACACACAGACUCCACUCAGCUCCGAGCACUCUGGCGACCAAGCAUGGUGCUCCUAGCCCAGCUCACAGCAGGGCUGCUGUGGGCCAUGACGGUGGUAACGGCGGUGGUGGCCCAGCCUGCCAGUCUGCUGAGCCUGCUCACCUCAGGCCGGGGCACUCUGGAUGGAGAGGAGCUGAGCAGCCUAUUAAAUACGCUGGUGGGCCGUGUGCACUGUGCCAGCGGGCCGUGUGGAAAGGUAACAGCCCCACCCGAUGGGUCCCCCAGCCCCGGUGCUUCCUGCCUGCUCCACCCUGCAGCCUGCAGCAAAGGGAGCUGGGCAAACUCCAGGAGGCGGGCCAGGGCCAAGGCCAGAGCCAGGCCUACCACAGGCCAGAGCCUUUCCUCCCCUGCUGGGGGCUGACAGUCCUGCCCCCCACCCCACACACAGAGUUCCGCUCUUUUCCCCAGGCUGCGAAGUUGGCAGUGGCUUCAGGAAGAAACAACCCAGAGAUGGGGGUCUGACUGGUGGGGACUUUGUGUGUGCUAGCCAAGUGAGGGGCACGAGCAGGGUAGGGUGUGAGAGAGGGCCUAGGGCCCGUCCUUGCCAGGGCCUGCCUCUGCCCUCUCUGAUGGGCCCAGUCCAGCUCCUGUCCACCUGUUUCUGCCCACAGUGCCUGUCUGUGGAGGCUAUCUUGGCCCUGGGUAGGCCUGACAAGCCAGGGCUGGCUCCAGGACCAGUCCUAGAGUCCAGGUACAUAGCCCGCCUCAGUGCCGCUGCAGCUCUCUAUCUUAGCAAUCCAGAGAGGACAUGUGCAGACAUCCAGGCUGGCCGCUGGGCCUCCCAGGCCGACCACUUCCUGGUCCUACUGGAGAGUUCUGAGGCCCUGACCCAGGGCCUAAGUCAGCUGCUGCAGAAGAUCAAGGCCCAGUCUGCUGGCCGGCCUGCUGGGGAAGAGGUGAGGGCCCAUGAGGGCUGGUCAGGA
Molecule: long non-coding RNA, 2901 nt
Filed under: Marmota monax (woodchuck)
Lineage: Eukaryota; Metazoa; Chordata; Mammalia; Rodentia; Sciuridae
Source: RNAcentral